Molecule: long non-coding RNA, 4835 nt
Organism: Peromyscus californicus insignis
Lineage: Eukaryota; Metazoa; Chordata; Mammalia; Rodentia; Cricetidae
Exons: 3
Source: RefSeq, a predicted model, not a curated record
UCAGCGUUAUGAACUAGGCGCCCAGGAGUCCCUGCUACCCAGCUCUGGAAACAGGAGAAGCUGGACGCCCUGGUCAUGUAGACGGUGGAGUGAAAGCCACCCACAUCACUCUGCUUAUGAAGCUCACAGGGUGACACCAUCUAGGGAGAGUCCUCGUCCUUGCUCCCCUCCACUGGUGACUUUUUCUGCAGGUGUUGACAGUGACAAUCAGGAUUUCUAUCUUCAGGGAGCCUGCAUCAAACCUCUGAAGCCUCCAAAACACAACUCGCUGCUGACUUGCCAACCACUUGGUGUAGUGAGGUUAAUCUGGAAUCACCCAGGAGACACAGGGCCACUUCUGGGCGUGUCUGUGAGGACAUUUCUAGAUUGGCUUAAGAGAAGAGGAAGACUCAUCACGUGUUUCCUUUGGCUUGGGUCCUGGACUGAAUAAAAAGAGUAAAAGAGAAAGCGCCAGCCAUCAAUCACUCUCUUCGCUUCAUUACUGUGGAUGCAACGUGACCAGCCAUCCUGCGCUCUUGCGGCCAUGACUUUCCCAGCAGGACGGACUGUACCCCCUCCAACUGUGUAGCUAAACCAACCUUCAUCUUGAAGUUGUUUUUGUUAUGCAGGAAUGAGAAUAGUGAGCAUGCACUCAGGGCCCUCUAACCUUGCAGCUUUGGGGGCCUUGGGCCUGGAGGUAGAUUUUGCCUCUCCCUAAGGGUGUCUGUGUGAAGAGCAGUGGUUGGUAAUGGAAGCUUAGGACAUUCAAGAUUGGCAGGAAGGGGCUUCAAGGGUGGCCAGCCCCAUUCCUUCUUCAUAGCUGCUGCCAUCAUGAGGCGGAGCCCUCGCUGGGCCUGACAAGUAUGAAGGAGGCACAGAUAUGGCAAUACCACAGCGUUACCUCUACUUUGUAGUCUAAUGAAAAACCAAAAAAAAAAAAAAAGUGAAGUGGUCAUCAAAAUGGUGUCUCUUUUUUGAGACACUUCGAUGACUCAGAGUCUAGGGGCCAUUUUCUAUCACUGUUAGUAGGACGCUUUGCCACAGGUGGAUGAAGACACCUCCCGACCCUUCAAGGGAGCUGGGGUUUAAUGAAUUGUCCUGGGCCCUCCUCUGCACUGUGUUCUGUGAGUUUCUCUGGGGUUCCACUCAGGAUGAGGCAGGAAUCUAGUGUGAAUCUAGCACUGACUGGCUAGGUAGGGGGUGCUGAGAUCUUCAGCCUGUGCUUUCCCUAAUUCUCAUCGCUACUCAAGGUCACCUGACCUCGGUUCUUGGAAGGGGACAAGAGGGUCCCUUUCUUCCCAGCUCCCCUGACAGUGGCUCCAUUGCUGUCUCUGUCCUGUGGGGAGAGUGUUGGCCACUUUCUGCUUAUUGCAAUGGUUGUUGGGAACUCAACUGUUUCCAUAUUGGGCCGUGUGGGCUGUGACCUGGUGGCACUCAGCAAUUCGCCAUCUGAGGUGGGCACCAGCCCUUUGGGGGCCAUGGCUGAGGAGACUUCCGGGGGCUCGGGGGCUGCCCAGCCCAGAAGACUGUCUCCAUUUCCUGGUGUUAUUCUUGGUUUAGAAACCCGAGCGAGUUCUCUGGCUUUUUGGAAAGUCACCCGCUUUCCCUGAGGAAGGAUUUGGACCGCGUCCUGGGUUACAUUUUACGCCAUUGUGCCUUCAUCAGGUCGCUUUUUAAAAAUACAUUUCUCUUCAGCUGAGUCACUUUCCUCCUCCUCCUCCUGACACUCCCGGGAGCCGGAAGGAGCCCUGCCCCGAAUCCUUGGCUCCUCCGGGCCAGAUCUUUUCCAAAUGUCAAACUCUUGGGAACCCUGGCCGAGGGCAGAGUGGGUCCCGACCCUAAUCUCUUUCCUCCAGUCUUGGCUGCUCUCAGCUUUCCCAUCUCAUAGAGAAGGCCUGUGAGCUGGCCGGGAGGACCCUGCCCUGGGGUUUCCAGGGAGGGCCUGGAGAGAAGGCUUCACUCCCAGCAAGGGCUCACACGCCCUUAUUGAGCUGCCACAAAAUCUCCUUAGUGACCUGUGAAUCCCCAGCGUGGUUGAGCUACUCUGGGCCUGUUUGCUGCCCUAGUAUGGAACUGGGAUUCACUCAGAGCCCACACUUAGUAGGUCCUCAACCCUUCAUGUCCACUUUCAGCGAAUUCCCACUGUGGACCACUGCCCCUUUCCUCUGUCUCCCAAUGACUUUGUAGCCUACCUUUGAGAACGGACCAUAGGACAGAACGAAGACAGGGUGGGCUCAUCCUAUGGGUGUUCUGAGCUUUAGGCCUCAACCUUCCAAGAUGGCCCAGAGAUAUGAGCGGUAUCCUUUCUGUGGAGUUCCACGGUGUUCAAAGCAUUUCCUGUGUACUGUGACUGUUCAUAUAGUGGUGGUCAUUUGAAAGUCAUAUUGCCUUGUUUGGGAAGGAGGUAGAUGGGAGGAGUUGAGGAAACAGACCGAGAAAGUUCAGCUGACUUGCCAGGGCCAGCCUCCUAGUGGGUCCUCAUUUGUUCAAACUCUCAUUUCUUUUCCUACUGCUUAUUCAGAGGUGUACCAGGUGCAGGAGGUACAGGGUGAGUGGGUGGCUGCACUGGUACCCUUGUCCAUGUCUCCUGACUCCAAGGUUCUCUAGUCAGUAAUUUAUUUAGUUGCUUGCUUGUUUAUUUAUUGGGCAUGGGUGUGCACAUAUGAAUGGGGAUGGAGGUCAAAGGACAGCUUGUCAGAGUUAGUUCUCUCCCUCUGCCGUGUGGGUCCCGGGGAUUGAACUCUGGCUGUCUGGCUUGGCAGUAGGUGCCUUUCCCCAUGGAACCAUGUCUCCAUCCCUCUACCACAUUUGAAAAAUUCUAGCCCAGCAAAGUCAGACCAACAGAACACAUCAUGGCAUUGUGUUAGAAACUGAAACUUCUUUGCUUGGAAAAUUUGGCAGUUCUAGAAAAAUUUUCUCAUUCGUUCUCUCUCGUACAGGUAACUGCAAAAAAUAAGGAAGUGAACUACAUUCUGUCUUGAUGGCAUUUAGGUCCUGUAGUUAUUCUAGUACCAAGGGUGAACUCAAACCACAGUUUGGAUUUGAAGAAAAUGCUGUAAAAUCCACUAACCUGUCUUGAGAGUAGUCAGUUACUGUGGAAGAGGAAAAUUACCCAGAGGCAGCCAUGUUCUAAGAGGCCUUUGAGGAUGUGGUGCAGAGGAAGGGAUGGGAUGGGAGCAUUGAGGCGCCAUCUUGUAGAGGACACUGGGAUGUUGGGAGUAGAGUUUCCAGUCAUUCAUUACCUCAGGCAAUGCCAGGGGAAAGAGUGUAAUCAUCCAGAUGAGUUCCUUCCAAGUUUCUGACCCACAGAAUGAUAAGCUAAUUAAAUUAGCUGUCUGAUAUCUACUGCUGAGGCAGGAGGGUGAAUUCUAGGGACUGCUCCUUCUGUCUGUACAAAGCUCUCUGCCCCUCAGCCCUUCCUGCAGUCACUGCUGGCCGGGAGGGCAAGCAGGUGGUCCCAGCGUCCUUCACAUUGCUCUUCUUUUGCAUGCCCUUCCCCCUCCUUCAUUUCAGAAUCCUAAAACUUUCUGGACCACGUGUGUUGGGACCCACUGACGGUUCUUCUGAGCACCCGGUGAGAAGCUUGGCGGCCUCUGAGAGCGACUCAGAGGAGCAUUUCUCUUUUCCCCAAGUCAUAGCUCAUCCAGGCACAUCUGAUGUUCAAUGGUGGCUAUGUGUAGUCCCAAAGGAGCCAUGGAGUCUGGGUCUUGUCAAGUGACAGGGUACAUGGUGUUGGCAUCCAUUUCAGGCACGAAUUCAAGUUGGCUCUGUGACUUUUCUUCUCUUUGGGGAGUGCGUUUUUUUUUCUUUUUUUCUUUUUGAGGAGUGAUAAAACUAAACUGCUUAUGCAAGCAGUAACAUGGGACUCAAGUCCAAAGUUGCUUCCCUCUCUUCUUUGCUCACAGAAAAAAUAAUUCACAUAAAAGCUGUUCGCUGGCCAAGGCUUGUCCCCUCCUCGGCAGGGACUUUCUUUUUUGUUGACUUCAGCACAAAUUCAGAUUUCUCUCUCCAGAUUUUGGGGUGUGUCUCCAUAUCCCUUGGGGAACUUUGUUUAGACCCAGGCAUAUUUGAGGCUUCUUUGCUUUCUUUCUCCCCAAGAUUAAUAAUCCAACCACGAGGGUUCAGGGAGGCAGCUGCCUGUGUGAAUUCAUUUGUGUGCAUUAAACCCAUGUGCUCAUACCUGGGAUGAGAGCAGGUGUCAGAUGGAGUCACAGGGUGGCUGCAUGUCACCAAUGACACGAGUGGCCUCAUCCCGAGGCGGGGCAUAGUACGAUGUGGUUGCGCCUCAGUUUCUUUAUCUGUGACCUGGGGUUUGGAAAUGAUAUCUGCUCAGCACCAGCAGAAACAAGAGCAUAUAAGUGGCCCUCAAGACUCGGCACCAGCCAUGCUGAGGAUGACUGUGGUGAGCAGUUGAGGGGAGCCUGGAUGCUCAGACAGGACUGGCCUUGGAGUGGGUGUGAUGGAAGGAUGGGGAAGGGCUCAUUGUGUGCUCGCACCAGCCACCUGCUCCCCAGGUGCUUUCCUCAGUGGCCUGGGGAGGUGGGGGGUAUCUAUGAAGUCCACAUGCAGACACACGCUCCUCAUCAUGUCCGCCUGUGCCAACCAGCCCUCCAGUCUCUGCAGGAAGCAAAAAUGAGAGCAUCCAUUUUCUUCUCUGCUCUGUGGCGAAAUUUCACCAAGGCCGGUGCUCUAGAAAUAUAUUUAUUCUCUUCCCAGGCUGCAUGCAAGGCCUCACCUGUUUUGAGUUCAGGCUCCUGCUCUCUAACUACAUGGUUAUCUAUACCUGGGCUCCCCCUCUUCUUCUUCUUCUUCUCCUUCUCCUUCUUCUCCUUCUUCUCCUUCUUCUCCUCCUUCUU